Non-coding RNA from Dermacentor albipictus, 739 nucleotides. The record is from RefSeq and is a predicted model, not a curated record. NCBI's taxonomy places the organism in Eukaryota, Metazoa, Arthropoda, Arachnida, Ixodida, Ixodidae.
GCAGAAGCCGUUGGUGUUAUGCCCGAUUUUUGUCGGGUUAUAUAAACUGAACCACGCUGACUCGGGACACUUCACGUCGAGCUCGCUGGAUACACAGUGAGCGCGGAACAGCGGGAAACUUGUCACGUGCCGCGCCCUUCGAUCAGGCAAGCUUCGACCGCACCAUGUCUUUUGCUGCCUUGCGAGUGUCCGACGAGGCCAAGGCGGUGUACAAGGCUUUGAAAGAGGACAAAAAGCACCGUUACAUCGUCUACUACUUAAAGGACGGACACUUUGAAGUGGAGGCUACGGGGGAACGCUCGGCCACCUAUGCGGACUUUCUGGAGAAGGUGCGACAGAGCUACGCGGACGAAUGCCGCUGGUUCGCAGUUGACUUCCUCUACACAGUCGAGGACGCGUGAGCACCAAAGAACGUCCAGUCUUUAUUGUCUGGUAUCCGAAGCAAGCCAACGUCAGGCAGCAGAUGGUGUACCGCAGCUGUUAUGAGGAUCUACGAAAAAGCCUCCCUGGUAUCUCGAAGCACUUCGAGGCGUCCACCAUCGAAGGUGCCAGUCAGGCUGCAGUGGAAGCUUUCGCGCGCAAAUAUACAUAGGGGACGUAUACGGCAUUUGUCAAAAGUAUACGGACUGCUUUGCCUGCAACCGCGAGGCUGUGUACGGGCCUUCUAGAGAAGUUCGUUUGUUCCGUCGUAAGUUCCAACGCCCUGAGGAAUGAAAUAAAACUUUCGUACUCGCUGACA